AAUAGAUACCCCGGUAGUCCACGCCGUAAACGAUGAGUGCUAGGUGUCGGGGGUUUCGAUACCCGCGGUGCCGAAGUUAACACAUUAAGCACUCCGCCUGGGGAGUACGGUCGCAAGACUGAAACUCAAAGGAAUUGACGGGGACCCGCACAAGCAGUGGAGUAUGUGGUUUAAUUCGAAGCAACGCGAAGAACCUUACCAGGUCUUGACAUCCCCCUGACCGGUCUAGAGAUAGGCCUUCCCUUCGGGGCAGGGGAGACAGGUGGUGCAUGGUUGUCGUCAGCUCGUGUCGUGAGAUGUUGGGUUAAGUCCCGCAACGAGCGCAACCCUUGAUCUUAGUUGCCAGCACUUCGGGUGGGCACUUUAAGAUGACUGCCGGUGACAAACCGGAGGAAGGCGGGGAUGACGUCAAAUCAUCAUGCCCCUUAUGACCUGGGCUACACACGUACUACAAUGGCCGGUACAAAGGGCUGCGAAACCGCGAGGUGGAGCCAAUCCCAGCAAAGCCGGUCUCAGUUCGGAUUGCAGGCUGCAACUCGCCUGC
This 544-nucleotide ribosomal RNA is filed under the name uncultured bacterium. Its description in RNAcentral is "bacterial SSU rRNA". It matches the Rfam family "Bacterial small subunit ribosomal RNA", at positions 777 to 1319 of the family's 1533-position model. The record is from RNAcentral.